AUUGAACGCUGGCGGCAGGCCUAACACAUGCAAGUCGAGCGGAUGAAGGGAGCUUGCUCCUGGAUUCAGCGGCGGACGGGUGAGUAAUGCCUAGGAAUCUGCCUGGUAGUGGGGGAUAACGUCCGGAAACGGGCGCUAAUACCGCAUACGUCCUGAGGGAGAAAGUGGGGGAUCUUCGGACCUCACGCUAUCAGAUGAGCCUAGGUCGGAUUAGCUAGUUGGUGGGGUAAAGGCCUACCAAGGCGACGAUCCGUAACUGAUCUGAGAGGAUGAUCAGUCACACUGGAACUGAGACACGGUCCAGACUCCUACGGGAGGCAGCAGUGGGGAAUAUUGGACGAUGGGCGAAAGCCUGAUCCAGCCAUGCCGCGUGUGUGAAGAAGGUCUUCGGAUUGUAAAGCACUUUAAGUUGGGAGGAAGGGCAGUAAGUUAAUACCUUGCUGUUUUGACGUUACCAACAGAAUAAGCACCGGCUAACUUCGUG
Molecule: ribosomal RNA, 484 nt
Filed under: uncultured bacterium
Lineage: Bacteria
Description: partial 16S ribosomal RNA
Rfam family: Bacterial small subunit ribosomal RNA
Source: RNAcentral